Molecule: transfer RNA, 72 nt
Filed under: Ardenticatenia bacterium
Lineage: Bacteria; Bacillati; Chloroflexota; Ardenticatenia
Description: tRNA-Gly
Rfam family: tRNA
About the family: Transfer RNA (tRNA) molecules are approximately 80 nucleotides in length.
Source: RNAcentral
GCGGGCGUAGUUCAGUGGUAGAACGUCAGCUUCCCAAGCUGAAUGUCGGGGGUUCGAGUCCCCUCGCCCGCU